Micropterus salmoides (largemouth bass) is the source of this 1124-nucleotide long non-coding RNA. RefSeq lists it as uncharacterized. The transcript is spliced from 3 exons. Lineage: Eukaryota; Metazoa; Chordata; Actinopteri; Centrarchiformes; Centrarchidae. The record is from RefSeq and is a predicted model, not a curated record.
AUAAAGGACCUGAAAUAAGAAAGAUCACAGCUUCAUUCACAGCAGUGAACAACAUUUACACAGAGAAUAUUACAUAAGAGAAUAACAUUGAGCACAGAGGAGAAACUAUCACUGCAUCACCAUGAUUGCAAAGAUUUGUGUCGUCCUUGUUCUGUUUGUUGCCUCUGGCAACGCACAGACCACAACCAGAACCACCACGGCUGCACCAACCACAUUCGCAGCCACUACUACAGUAGCAACCAGAGCCGCAGCCACUACUACAGCAGAAACCACAUCCACAGCCGCUACUGCAGCAACAACCAGAGCCGCAGCCACUACUACAGUAGCAACCACAUCCACAGCUGCUACUGCAGCAACAACCAGAGCCGCAGCCACUACUACAGCAGAAACCACAUCCACAGCCGCUACUGCAGCAACAACCAGAGCCGCAGCCACUACUACAGCAGAAACCACAUCCGCAGCCGCUACUGCACCAACAACCUCAUCCGCACCCACUACUGCACCAACAACCAGAGCCGCAGCCACUAAUACAGUAGCAACCACAUCCGCACCCACUACUGCACCAACAACCUCAUCCGCACCCACUACUGCACCAACAACCAGAGCCGCAGCCACUACUACAGUAGCAACCACAUCCGCAGCCGCUACUGCACCAACAACCUCAUCCGCACCCACUACUGCACCAACAACCAGAGCCGCAGCCACUAAUACAGUAGCAACCACAUCCGCAACCACUACUGAAGCAACAACUACAACCAGCACGGCUGGUUGUGAUACCAGCACGGCUGGACCACCACCAACUACAACCAGCACGGCUGGUUGUGAUACCAGCACGGCUAGGCCAACAUGUAGCGUGGAGUGUGUUUGUAAAUGUUAAUCUCUGAUAUGUCAUCACAUGUGUCCCUGAUGGAAAUAAUCAAACUGUCUCUGGACUCUGUAAUGUUCUGGUUCAGAGGAUUGCGAGUGAAUCUGCUUUUUGUCUGUAAUUACAUAAAAAAGAUGAUCUACAAUAAAGGUUUACCAAAGUUAUUCUUUAAAGUUUAGCAAAUUACUUGCUAAAGACCUUUGGUAGAUAUUGUAGUCUUUCUUGAUAAGCUGAUAAAUAAAACAUCUAUUUACAUUUA